RNAcentral lists this long non-coding RNA (420 nucleotides) under Lathyrus oleraceus (garden pea). RNAcentral's name for it is "Pisum sativum (pea) long non-coding RNA (PSAT_LNC001212)". Lineage: Eukaryota; Viridiplantae; Streptophyta; Magnoliopsida; Fabales; Fabaceae. The record is from RNAcentral.
AAAACAUUGCUUCAGUAUCCGUCGACAUUCAGAGCUCUGGAUUCUCCACCCCUACAAAUGUUCAAUGUUUCCAAGGUAAGCUCAGAUAGCUUUAUAAUCAUUUAUCCAUUUAUAGUGCCUUAAAAUUGGCUUUUAAAUUCAAUUUUGAAUUGGUUUUAUACUUAUUUUUUGUCAAGAAAGAUAAAUGGGGUGUUAGGAAUUUGAAUUUUGGAUUGGUUUGACUUUUGAGUUCAAUUUUCUAGUUGGGUUUUUUGUUUUGGAUUGGUUUUCUCUUUCUGUUGAGUUUUCUCUUCAAGUGAGGUGUUGUUUGGAAUUGGAAUUGGUGUUGUUACUGUUUUUGUUGAAUUGGAGUUAUUGUUACUGCUGGAUUUGAAAACGAAAACACGUAGAAUUGGUGUUGUUAUUUCUAUUCUACUUAUU